UCCCAUGAUCUGGGGGAGUUCCUUCAACAC
This 30-nucleotide non-coding RNA is filed under the name Rattus norvegicus (Norway rat). The record is from RNAcentral. Lineage: Eukaryota; Metazoa; Chordata; Mammalia; Rodentia; Muridae.